AACUUAUGCAUAGACCUGCAUAGGUGUUGGGUUUGGAAACAAAGUAAGUGAGCUCACUAUGAGGCUAUUAAGUCCUUUUCCCACCUCUUCCAUUUUUCCAGUUCGCUGUCUGUCUAGAAGUCCUCCAGAGGCAGAGCUAGGACAUCACCUGCUGACAGCCCACUCCCACCUUCUUGUAAGCCAGCCAAAAUCAGUCACCAGCCAGCAAGCGUUUGCCAAGGGCAGACCUCCUGUAGAUCUCUCAAAGCUACAAGGAAGUCCGGUCCGAAACCACUGCUGGAGUGAAACCCUAAUCUCAGCACCAAUUUGCCUGGAGAGAUUUCAAAUUCGUGUUCUCAUUGCUGGGUCACAUCAUUAA
RNAcentral lists this long non-coding RNA (358 nucleotides) under Calidris pygmaea (Spoon-billed sandpiper). Its description in RNAcentral is "lncRNA (ENSCPGG00000003975.1)". Lineage: Eukaryota; Metazoa; Chordata; Aves; Charadriiformes; Scolopacidae. The record is from RNAcentral.